This 354-nucleotide transfer-messenger RNA is filed under the name Anaerovoracaceae. RNAcentral's name for it is "RUG099 sp902786355 Standard tmRNA". It matches the Rfam family "transfer-messenger RNA". From Rfam's summary of the family: Bacterial tmRNA, also known as 10Sa RNA or SsrA, is named for its dual tRNA and mRNA-like properties. Its role is to liberate the mRNA from a stalled ribosome. To accomplish this part of the tmRNA is used as a reading frame that ends in a translation stop signal. The record is from RNAcentral. RNAcentral also lists the same sequence under 1 other name. Lineage: Bacteria; Bacillati; Bacillota; Clostridia; Peptostreptococcales.
GGGGACGCACUGGUUUCGACAGGUAUGUGGAACGAGGAUAAGCGAGCCGUGGCGGUGAACCACGUAAAAAGCACUCGUUAAAAAGAAACGCAAAAACAAACAACAAUUUCGCACUGGCUGCAUAGUUCAGCCCCGCGCGUCGGCUCCGGUUCACCUGCAGACCGGAAUCCCGGCGUCAUGCAUGCAGGAAAACUCUUGCGUGAUCUCCUGCUAGCGUAAGAGGACCAAGCGGGAUAGUCAGGUGUGAGUCCGUCAUGUGACGCUCACCUGGCGAAAUCAAAUACAUGACUGCGCUCGGAGAAAGUCUUCCGGAAAUAUUCUUGGACGUGGGUUCGAUUCCCACCGUCUCCACCA